UAUCCAGUCGCUCACACUCACAUAUACGGGUGCAACUCUACGCAUCUGGUAACAUUGUGUUAUCUCAGAUUGCCAAGAACCGCUACCAACCACCUUACAAGACCGAUCGAAAUCUUGCUAAUCCUCCAUGGCCCUCAACAUCACAAGGAUCCCUAUCACCCGUGUCCUACACAUCUCCUUUGGUCUAGUGCUCAUGGUGUCCUUCGGUGCCUCGUUUCAACUGCUGGGAGUGCUCAGGUACAAGGCACUCCCUCGUUCCUUGGUUGAUUAUGAUCGCACUAACGUCUAUUCUGAAGGUACGUAGGAUGUAGGGUGAGGG
RNAcentral lists this unclassified non-coding RNA (319 nucleotides) under Penaeus japonicus. Its description in RNAcentral is "uncharacterized LOC122263931, transcript variant X1". Lineage: Eukaryota; Metazoa; Arthropoda; Malacostraca; Decapoda; Penaeidae. The record is from RNAcentral.